RNAcentral lists this unclassified non-coding RNA (3571 nucleotides) under Leishmania donovani. RNAcentral's name for it is "gene:unknown". The record is from RNAcentral. Lineage: Eukaryota; Euglenozoa; Kinetoplastea; Trypanosomatida; Trypanosomatidae.
ACGAUGCGCCAGCUCAACGGAACGAGUGUUUUGGUUCAUCGCUUCAUCAGUCACCACCCCGACAGAGACCGCCACCGUUGUCAAGCAUGUUGGGUGCACCGAGUCCGGCAGCAGACGAUUUCAGACGCCGUCUUGCACGGCUUCAGGGGGUGAAGGGCGGACUAGGCAGCAGAGACACUAACGGGCCGAAGAUCCUGGCAGCCCUCUCCGCGCCGAGGGGCAGAACCAGCCGCGAGAACCCUCAAAGAGCUCUGAAGGCAGGGCUGCCCGUCGAGUGGCUGAUAGAGGGACAAGACAAUGAGGUGCUCACAGGGGUGGAAGCUUGCCACGCGGGAAGGCGACACGCCACGGGGCUGCCUUUUCCUCUGCCAGAGUGCACGCCAAUGCAGCUGUGUUGCGCGUGCCGUCGACUGACCACGCUCACGGACGACCUGGCCGGAGGAGGGCUGUACCGCCAAGUCAGCACUGCGGAGAGAAGCGACUGCUGCAUUCCCCUGCACACGCGACAUCGCUGGCCAGCCGGUAUCCCCGCAUGGGGGUCGACUCGCCGCAAGGCACGGCAGCGUACUUUUGGCUUCGCCUCCGUCCGUCAUCGUGGGGGCCGGACGUACGCAAGACCUUCUCGAGGAUCGCGGCACAGCGGCCUCUGACCUUCGUCAGGUACAUGGCGCAACAACGCCUCGGCGCUGACUGCGAGGGCUUCUCAUGUUGAUCUAUGUGUUCGCAGACGCAUCAGAUGAAGCGGUACGACGGCCCCCAAGACCGCACCCAUGCCGCUUGCGCCCCGGUCUUCCACAGGGAUACAGCGAAAGGCGGCCUGGGGAGGCGAGGCUUCCGUGCACGGCUACGUGGACUUCCGUAACUGCAAAACCGAACAGACGCCUCCACAAAGGGCAGGGGGCCGUGUCCUCCCCUUUCCUUAUCAUGUGCGGCCGGUUUGACACCGAGGAGAACGUCCCGCUGGAGUAAUCCGAGGCAACUCAUGGCUGAGCGUCGCGAGGAGGACCUGAAAAGCGUCGACCAAUCGUGUCCCGCUACGCAACGAUGCACAGCGCGCUGACACCCCCGUGCCGCUGUGUGCUGAUCGGGGGCAACCCAUGAACACCGAGGAAUCGCCGGAAUGGUCAGCAGUGCACGGCAGGAUGGCACCGGUUGAUGGGCAGCGAGAUUCCAAAUCGGGCGCCACACGUGCCCGGUGGGUCUGACCUACAGAGGAGGGUCAGGGCCAACCACCUCGUGAGGCCCGUACCCGGUGGCAUCCCGCCUCAGCAGGCAGGACGGUUUGACGCUGGCGGAACCGACCGAGCCAGCGCACGAGCAAGCAGACCUCGUGCAAGGACCUCGCAGCGGCCAAGAAUAAGACGAGGCGGGCGGGGCGCGCUCAAGGACGUCGACCCGGACCUGAAGCUGGCCCCAGUACGCAAAGCAGUGGCCCACCAUCUGGCGCAGAUCGGGAAGGGGGUCCUAAAGGAGGACAUGAUGCAACCAGCCAGACAUGCAACGAUCGAAACGGUGCGGCGACACCUGGGCUACUCCCAGCAACCUACGUUGGAGGCUGUUUGAGUGCAGCACAACGCCUCAGUCUUCCUCUCCAAGACCCAACGGGGUAGGCCGCACGCCGCCAAACGUUCAUGAAUUCUCGGCAUUGCCGCUAGCGAGUCGCCCGAGGGAAUUUGGGUGCUCCGGGGGGCCAGGGCGCGGCCACCCCCUCAAGCUGGCUGCCACAGCAGAAAGAUUUGGCUUGGCUAGAUGUUCAGGCAAUCACCCACUUAGCAGCAGCAAUGAGGAAAUCAGAUGAAGGCCUGCGGGAGGCAUUCGUGUGCGUAGCGCCUCUCCCUUCCCUGCCUCAAUCACCCCCGCAUGCCUCUCGCACGAUUCGGUCUACCAGGCCGGGGCGGGUGGAUUUGGAUCUCUCAAUGCGAAGAAAGGUAAUCUCGGGCGAUGCUCAGGCGGCCUGCGCCACGCGCUCGUGCAGGAUGCUCACUUCGUUAUCGUGCUCUGGGUGCCAGAGCACAAAGACAGAAGAAGGCUGAUCCCGUAGCCUGCACGCGACGGUGUGCCUGUGUGUGUGUGUGUGUGUGUGUGUGUGUGUGUGUGUGUGUGUGUGUGUGUGUGUGUGCCUCUGCCGGCGGUGGGGACGGCGGCGCCGUCCUCCCUUUUCGUUACAUCGGCUCCCCCCCUUUACGCAGAGGUGCACGUUGACAGUGUUCCCAAGGCAAGAACAGUCGCGGCUGUAGCGGACGAUCUUCUCUUCUGAGCCUGCGUCUUCCUGUCGUGUGGUGUGUGUUCAUGUGUGCCCUCUCGCCACGCUCGCUGACAGACAUGUGCACCGGCGCUAUGGUGCAGGCGUGCCUUGGACACUGAAUGCUGACGAUGAACUCGCGCGCUCUCUCCUCACCUCCCGCUGAGCCAGCAAGGAAGUGUGCACCCAUCCUUUCGGAAGAAAUGACGCAAGAUCCCUGUCCUUUGCUCGUCCUCAUCGUUAGUCGCUGCACGCCGGUCUCGGGGACAUAACGGUGCGACGAGAUGGGAGGGAGGUGGUGGUGGGGGGGUGCGAUCGAGUUUCUUCCUUUCGCUGUUCUGUGCCGGAGCGAUCGUUAUUGCACCAGUCAUUGCUAUGCCUCGUCUCAAGUCCAUUGGAGGCGCAGUACCAGGGACCUCACGGCCCCUUUCUUAUUUCUACUGUCUCUGUCUCCAGAGCAGGAUCCACCCAUCUGACCUCGCCCUCUUUGCCUCUCCACCAGGUGAGGCAGGGAGCUGAAAGGACGGGUGGCUCCCCGAUCUCGGCACCACACAGGCACAGGCAUAUGCGUGUAUCAGCGCUCUUGUGUAAUGGGCGCGCUUUAUGCCAGCCGGGUACGGGCCCCGGUGCAACCCCUUCUACCCCCUCUACUAUCUUGUCUCUCACGCUGGCGAAGAAAUGAGGGUGCUCAUACGCAGGUGCCUUCACCAGCGAUCAAAGAGAGGAAAACAUCGGCGCGUCUGCUUGAUCGCGUGCGCCCUGCCACUGCGUGCUCGCUCUGCCGCGCCCCUUCCUUCCCCUCCCCCUCUUUCGAGUGUACACAUGCAUCGAUACACGCAGACCCGCAUGUAGAUAUAGGUGUCCAUGAGUGUGUAUGCAGGUAUGCACAUUUCUAUGCAUGCGUGUCUGCUUGUGUGCAUACCUUUACUUGCUUUGAUGUCCGUCUCUCCUAGUGUCUGCGCCCUGGAUGCCGCCGCUCUUCGUGCUUGUGCGCGCGUGGGUGUGCCUUGGUGUGCUCAAAGGCUGCUAAACACACACACAUACAAAAAAAGGUAGGAGGCCCCAGACUCAUCAGGCCCGCCUUGCAUUCCUCCAUUUUCAAGUGCUCCCCCGUUUGCUUGUCUCUCUCUCCAUGAGCCGCUCGGCGCGGGGGAGGGGACUCGCUUUUUCGAGGCGCGACAACAUCUGCGCGAGUGCGACACUCUCAUUGUGUCGUACACCUCUUACCCCACCUUCUUCCUUCCCUCUCUGCAACGUGUCUCUGCUGCUUUUCUUCGCCUCGCUUUCCCUGGCUCCUCUCAUUGCCCACGUGCUUGUGUCUCCGAACAG